UGUGUAGGCGGCUGGGCAAGUCAAAGAUGAAAUCCCGAGGCUCAACUUCGGAACUGUCUUUGAAACUGCCUAGCUUGAGGAUAGUUGAUGAAAAGGGAAUUCCCGGUGGAGCGGUGAAAUGCGUAGAUAUCGGGAGGAACACCUGAGGCGAAGGCGCUUUUCAAAACUACUCCUGACGCUGAGACACGAAAGCUAGGGGAGCAAACGGGAUUAGAUACCCCGGUAGUCCUAGCCGUAAACGAUGGACGCUAGAUAUUCCUGCGCUUAUGUGGGAGUGUCGAAGCUAACGCGUUAAGCGUCCCGCCUGGGGAGUACGGUCGCAAGGCUGAA
Molecule: ribosomal RNA, 330 nt
Filed under: uncultured bacterium
Lineage: Bacteria
Description: bacterial SSU rRNA
Rfam family: Bacterial small subunit ribosomal RNA
Source: RNAcentral